Long non-coding RNA from Phyllostomus hastatus (greater spear-nosed bat), 454 nucleotides. RefSeq lists it as uncharacterized. The transcript is spliced from 4 exons. NCBI's taxonomy places the organism in Eukaryota, Metazoa, Chordata, Mammalia, Chiroptera, Phyllostomidae. The record is from RefSeq and is a predicted model, not a curated record.
CACAUCAUGUGUUCAUCCACCUUUCUACUCCUGGUGAGGAACUAGCAAGAUGUCCUGGCUCACUGUCUCACAUCAAGGAUAAAUUUGGGAUUUCUGGAUUCAAGAAGGAAGAAGCUUCAAUCAGGGAGACCACACAGGUUCCAGUUCAACUGCCAAUUAGAUGGACUGUCUGAAGGUCUGAGAGGGGCAGAAAAGCAAGUCUGGACUUGAAGGAGUUUAUCAUCUAUCAGGGUUUGUAUUAGGUCCUAUGAAGACAGAGAGCAAGACCCGUGUGUCCUCUGCCCUUGAGGAGAUUACAGUGUGAUGGAGUGCUCCAAAUGCUAAUUUCAAAGAGGGGCCACUGGACUGGUAGGUCAAGGAAAUGAUGCCACAGUGGGGUACUCAGCAAAGCAUUUGGCACAGUUUUUCCUGAUGCUAUCCUUGUGUACAAAAUGAAGGCAUAUGGCCUAGAGGU